RNAcentral lists this ribosomal RNA (253 nucleotides) under uncultured bacterium. RNAcentral describes it as "partial 16S ribosomal RNA". It matches the Rfam family "Bacterial small subunit ribosomal RNA", at positions 524 to 776 of the family's 1533-position model. The record is from RNAcentral.
UACAGAGGUCUCAAGCGUUGUUCGGAUUCAUUGGGCGUAAAGGGUGCGUAGGCUGCGCGGUAAGUCGGGUGUGAAAUCUCGGGGCUUAACUCCGAAACUGCAUUGGAAACUACCUUGCUAGAGGGUUGGAGGGGGGACUGGAAUACUUGGUGUAGCAGUGAAAUGCGUAGAUAUCAAGUGGAACACCAGUGGCGAAGGCGAGUCCCUGGACAACUCCUGACACUGAGGCACGAAAGCUAGGGGGGCAAACAGG